CACAGCACGUACUGAUCUUAACGGACUGUCAAUGCCCAAUUGGCAAUCCUAUGAUCAGGAACGUUGAGGAUGUGUCUACGAAAGAAUGGUCUCAUGAAUCUAACUUCUUUAGAUUGCAUUCUCCCAAUCACAUAUUCCUUGGACUUAUCGUUUAAGCAUCUAACAUUUAUAUGAGACGGCUUAAAACAAUAAUCUUUGCCCUUGAUAUUAAACUAGAUUAGUUUAACAUGUGAAAUGUCCGUAAAGUAUCAUCAUAUGAUUGGUUUUAGGGCACAUUUCCAACAAAAUGAACGUCUUAUGGGGUGAAGCAGUAGCACAAAUGAAAUACCUUUCCAUCAAGAAUAAAUGACAUGCCCCGAUCCUGAUAUUCCCCAAAUACCAGGAUAGGCAAGUGCUGGCUGACACCCGAGGGUGACAAAAGCCAUUUAUUGAGUGCAAAUGCUAAAAACAAGGGAUAAAUAAGACUUGGAAAUAUAAAAGAAUAAUGAAUAUGCAUUUAAGAAACGUGCUCAAAGCAUACAACUAACCAGAAUACUAAAAGAAAUAAUAUAAAAUUGAAUGACCAAAAGAGUAGGUCCUACACUAAGAGGACUCGAAGAUGCCGUUGUAGAAGUGCCUUGAUACCGGGAUUGUAUGCCUCGAUUAUAAGUCCUGAAUGGGGGUGCAAAACAAAGGUGAGUGGACCAAGUUUAUGUACAUACAUAAUACAAAAACAAUUAUAAACAUACUAGCCCCCAAAGUUUUAAUAAUGAAAACUACUAGCAUAAUAAAUGAUAGGUUUCUCUGAAAACCCUAGCAUGCCAUAAACAUCUCAAAAGACAUAUCGUGGAAAACAUUGCGGAAAUCAAAGCAUUAAUAGUCUCACAGAUCGUCUCGUAAGCGCGGUGUGUUGCCAGUAAAAUCACUGAAUAAUAAUACUCCCAACCCAAUGCAUGCACCUAAGUCUUUGUGCUCGUAGCCAGAAAUAACUCCUUCUCGACCCAACGCCUGUCUCCGUGUCCCUCAGCCUUUCGCUAGGGAUUAUUUCUCCCGGUCUAACUGCCAACACCAGAUCCUCACCCCAGGUGGCAUAGUGUCCACUAGGUACACACAAAUAGUUACGCCUACCAAGAAUAACCACUUCAUAGUAUAAAGUCAUCCAUCGUCUACACUAUAAAGAAGGGUUUCGAAAACAUGUUCCAGCCUCCUAUCGUCAUCCAUCAUAUAGUCUACCAGUUCAUAGUUUUUAUAGAAAAUAUGAUAUAUUAAAAUAUAGUUCAAUAUAGGCUAACAAUUAAUUCCUCACCAAAAACACGAGACGAAAAUCAACAUAUUCCAUAAACAUGCUUAACAUAAAAUCAGUUCAUAAACUCGUAAGGCAUGCUAUUCAUUUAUGCAAUUAAACUAUGAAAUCAUGUAAUUUUAGAAGGGGUCCACUCACCGUACACCGAUGGUGCAAAGUUGUACCAAAAAGGAAUAAUGGAAUCACCGUUACUAAUCGUACCUAUUCACAAAAAGAGGUACUUUUAGUCAAACUCUACUCAAACGAUUGAAUUUGGGAAAACGAACUUCAAAAACAGGUCCAGGACGUUGAAAUUAGCCUAGGAGAGGUCCCAGACGAAACUCUGAAAAGUCAACUUUAAAAGUUAAUGUUGACCGUUGACUGGUCAAAGUCAACGCUAACCGUUGACCGAGUCAAAAGUCAGAGUCAACGGUCAAAGGUCAACUAGGUUAAACGGGUCUGGGCUUAGUCCUAAGGCCCAAGGGUUUAGGGUUUAGCUAAUUAGGUGGGCUAGGCUUAGUCCUACGGCCCAAGGGUUUUGGGUCGAAGAAGGGCCGGGCCGAAGGCCCUAAUUAAAAUGGCCCAAGACAUUUUACUUUAAGAACUAAAUAAUUAAAAUUUAAAAUAAAUGUUUUGGGUUGGGUUUGGGUCUAACGGGCUUAAACCCAAGUUCUAAAAUGACCCAAAGGGCCUGGGUUCACUUGCUCUCACCGGGGAAGGAGGCCAGAGACCUCCCAACUCCGGUCGACGCCAUCCGUCAUCCUAGGCUCCGAUCUAGGUAUCAACAUGAAGAGGAAAAUGAGAUGAGUGAUUUGAUACCUUUGGUUCGCUGUGAAACGAUCGGUGGUGGUCAAAAAAUCCCUCGACACCCACGAGCUCGCGCGGAGACGAGUUUCGUUUUUCCCGAGUCGAUCUCAUGUUAAACCUUGUCAAUAACAAGUAUAAUGUUAAAAAAUCUCAUCCCAGCAUCAAACUAAGACAGAGAGAGAGAGAAUCCCAAGGCUUACCUAGUCGGGAAUACAAGGAAUCUCGCCGGAGGGUUUUUCUGGGCUUCUUCGCGCCUCGCAGCGACAAGAGAGAGAAAGAUGGCAAGAUGAUGAUGACGAUGAUGAUGUCGUUUACGUCAGGGAGGGU
RNAcentral lists this long non-coding RNA (2395 nucleotides) under Malus domestica (apple). RNAcentral describes it as "long non-coding RNA (MDOM_LNC020721)". Lineage: Eukaryota; Viridiplantae; Streptophyta; Magnoliopsida; Rosales; Rosaceae. The record is from RNAcentral.